Molecule: long non-coding RNA, 470 nt
Filed under: Brassica napus (rape)
Lineage: Eukaryota; Viridiplantae; Streptophyta; Magnoliopsida; Brassicales; Brassicaceae
Description: long non-coding RNA (BNAP_LNC000004)
Source: RNAcentral
GAAAAGAGUUUUGUGGCCUUUUCAAAAAAGAAAUCUACAGUUUUUGGUGGUUCAUUUUUUUGUGAAAGAAAGAGACGGAAAGCUAUGUCCUGUACAGUUUCUCCUCCCACCUGAGGGCGAAGUCAUGACUCGACUGAAAGGAGAGGCGUUCCUCGGGAACUCGAGCAUUUAUUGCGAGAGGGAGAGGAGGGGUUUGACUUUUUCUGUCAGGCCAAUUUAUUUCUAGUGGUAAGUGCUUUCAGCCAGUUCUAGUCCUUUUCUUAUACGCUUAUUGGCGUUAGCACAUUCCUCUUUCUUAUUGGAUGGAGUUGUGUUUUGCCACCUGGAGUUUUAAUGGAAGUUUGAGUGCGUCCUAAAAGCCAAUGCUUCCGCCUUUUGGAAGUGUCUGCCUAUAUCUGUCCUCCCCCAUUUAAUCAGUCUCUGUCCUUACCUUCGACGGUAACCCCUUUACAGUACAGCAGUCCCGUUUC